AUGGGCCCAUAACAAAGACAUAACACAACCACACAGUCAAAUAUGGUGUACUAGACUACUGUUGUGUAAAUUGACAAAAGCCAAUGCAUAGUAGGUGGUGUUUCCGAUAGACGACCACAACCUUCUAUUUUAAUUUCUUCUAUGGAAUAAAGAUUUUAAGUUCCGGACUUUAGCAUUUUUACCAUUGGAUGUUGCCUAAUGCAUGUGUAGAUUUCAAGUUCCAUGAUGAUCAUUCCGGUGGUGUAAAAUGAUGAGCAAAUCUUCAGCAUCAAAUAUUGCAUCAUUCAAGUCUUCAAGCCAUUGUUUAUCAUGAAUAUCCUUGAACUGCUUCUGUUCUGCAUCAACCAGCACAGCUUGAAGAGCUGAUAGUGUUGUUUCAAAUGAAAACACGAAACUCCGAGAAGGUUUGAACAAAAGCAGACAGAAAUGUAUUUCCUCCAACCAAAACUGCAGCCAUCUCUUACAAGUUGAGUGAAGUUAGACAUAACUAAUUGUAUGGUAGCUUGGAUAUCUAUCAGAAAAGGAUUGAAAACAUCAAUGUUAUGUGAGAGACUUGGAAUACAUUCUUUUUUGUAACAAAUAUUAUAGUAAUGUGGUACAUGAGCUGCACAUAUGGAAUACAUUCACACUGUUACUUUUUGUGGACUUUGUAGAACUAAGCAAAUAAAAGAAGAUCGAAAAGAAUAAACACUGUUGUCCAAUUAAAUAUUCGUGGACAGUGUACAAAGUGGUUUUGUACAAAUUUAUAGAGAGAGUGAGAGAAACUCGAUGCAAAUGUAGAUAUCUUCAAGAAACUUUCAUGCACUUAUGGCUGUACUGCAUGAGAAAGAGUAGUCUUGGCCACAGGAGAGGCAUACAAGUUGUAUACCUCUUCAAGAAACUUUCUUUAAUUGAAUAUUAGCUAUUAUGAUUAAGUUAAUGAGAAUUUUAUGUUAAGGUUA
Vicia villosa (hairy vetch) is the source of this 941-nucleotide long non-coding RNA. RefSeq lists it as uncharacterized. NCBI's taxonomy places the organism in Eukaryota, Viridiplantae, Streptophyta, Magnoliopsida, Fabales, Fabaceae. The record is from RefSeq and is a predicted model, not a curated record. The transcript has 3 exons.